UUAUUAAAACUAUUACUAUUCGUCUUCAGGACAAAACUUAUGCACAAAGAUGACUCUUUUAUUUGGAAAUAUCUGUUAUAUUUGUCACGUACACUGACAGACAAAAUAAGAUGUUCUGAUGAUAAUGAGGACAUGACGGAAUCUGAUGACAACUCAAGAGGAAAGAUCAACAGAGACAGAAUAGAUGGUCAGAAUGAAGAGAAUGACUCAAAACUGGGCUCAGACCACAAGAAGGUUCAACUCCAUCAAAUACCUGAUUCACUUGGAUCCACCGUUGUCAGAGAGUCAGUUUCAUCUGACUACAAUGAACACUCUGGCCCCCAAGUCAAGCACCUGACACCAUUAAAACAAAGACAAGAGCCGAAGGAGGGAGACAAUGGUAAGAGGACACAACAAAAGAUAUGAAAUAUAAUUAUAUUUUAAUCCCCAACAGUUAACUCUCUCAGUGAUCAAGCUUAACAUUAAUAAGAGAAAUGUUGUAAAGAUUUAGACCAACUCUAACCUGAAGAAAAAUGUUUUAAAGAACACAGUGACUGUGAUGAGGCUGUUGAUGCCACUGCUCCACAUACAAGGCGGAUAAAGCAGGGCCCAUUGAUAGAAGACCAUAUGACUGGUAAGUGACAAGGUCUGACAGAAUACCAGCAAACUAC
Cynoglossus semilaevis (tongue sole) is the source of this 650-nucleotide long non-coding RNA. RefSeq lists it as uncharacterized. The record is from RefSeq and is a predicted model, not a curated record. The transcript is spliced from 3 exons. NCBI's taxonomy places the organism in Eukaryota, Metazoa, Chordata, Actinopteri, Pleuronectiformes, Cynoglossidae.